AACGAACGCUGGCGGCAUGCCUAACACAUGCAAGUCGAACGAAGCCUUCGGGCUUAGUGGCGCACGGGUGCGUAACGCGUGGGAAUCUGCCCCUUGCUUCGGAAUAACAGUUAGAAAUGACUGCUAAUACCGGAUGAAGUCUUCGGACCAAAGAUUUAUCGGCAAGGGAUGAGCCCGCGUAGGAUUAGGUAGUUGGUGGGGUAAAGGCCUACCAAGCCGACGAUCCUUAGCUGGUCUGAGAGGAUGAUCAGCCACACUGGGACUGAGACACGGCCCAGACUCCUACGGGAAGCAGCAGUGGGGAAUAUUGGACAAUGGACGCAAGUCUGAUCCAGCAAUGCCGUGUGAGUGAUGAAGGCCUUAGGGUUGUAAAGCUCUUUUACCAGGGAUGAUAAUGGCAGUACCUGGAGAAUAAGCUCCGGCUAACUCCGUG
This 433-nucleotide ribosomal RNA is filed under the name uncultured bacterium. Its description in RNAcentral is "partial 16S ribosomal RNA". It matches the Rfam family "Bacterial small subunit ribosomal RNA", at positions 29 to 507 of the family's 1533-position model. The record is from RNAcentral.